This 5491-nucleotide long non-coding RNA is filed under the name Sus scrofa (pig). RNAcentral's name for it is "lncRNA (ENSSSCG00015009615.1)". The record is from RNAcentral. Lineage: Eukaryota; Metazoa; Chordata; Mammalia; Artiodactyla; Suidae.
GGUUCAGGAGAUGAGGUUUGAAAUUAAUUUUUUCUUUUUUUAGGGCCCCACCCAUGGCCUAUAGAAGCUCCCAGGCUAGGGUUGAAUCCAGGCUAUAGCUGCCAGCCUAUCCCACAACCACAGCCACAGCAAUGUCAGAUCCAUGCUGCAUCUGUGAUCUACACCACAGCUUACAGCAACACCAGUUCCUUAACCCACUGACGUGGGAUCAAACCCACAACCUCAUGGAUACUAGUCAGGUUCAUUACGACUGAGCCUCAAUGGGAACUCCUAAUUGUUCAUGUUAACACUUUAUAUGAUCUUAGAUUUAAAAUUGUUGAUUCUAAAGUAAGAAUCCCAUUGACAAAGUAAAAUUAUUUUCUACCCUAUGAACUAUGUACACUUAUAUUCCAACAACAACAAAAAAACCCUCAACCUAUAUUUAUUCAGUGUGAUUGAGUCUUUAAAAGUUACAUUUCUUUAAUUAUUAGGAUUUUCCUUGAAGAUAUUCAAGGUUAAAUUUUAAAUCUAAAGCACUUAGUUUUCCUGGAGUUUAAAUUGUAUACAAAGGUUCUAGGGUGACAAUAAGGUUUUAAUGUCUUAAUAAAAUGUUUAUAAAUCAGCUCUAGAGGUCUGGUUCAGUUCUGUUAGAUAUGCUGAAAUCCAGAUGAGGGAAGUUGGGAUUAAAUUGGAUUGAUUCUCUUUGUGAGCCAGAACUACUCUAGUCAAAAUUUCAAGAUUUUAAUACAAUAUUUGUAAAAGACCCUCAUCUAAAUUAAACUAACCGAGAUGCUUGAUAAACUUGAUAUAUGGACCAAUUAUCAGUAUCUCUUUGUUCUUUUUUGUAUUGCUUCUAAUACUCUUCAGCAUAUAUAGUACUAUUUUUCUCUCAUAAUAUAAACACUGUGAAGAGCAUUUAUUUUUAUUGAACUCCUUUUUUUGAACUGGUUUCCUAUGGCAUACAGGAUUUUUAACCAAUUCUCAAUAGCUUAUUAUUGCUGCUGCUGUUGUUUGGGAAGUUAUUUAUGGUUAUUGUUUCUGCUAAUGCAGUUUUUGUCCUAGAAAGUGUCAGACAAAAUGUCAUUUCUCAAACUUUUAUGAAGGACAAGGUAGUCAGGGGUCCAAGGCCAGUGUUACAAAGCAUAAGCCCUUGACAGCUGAGCCCUGGACAAGAAAACUUAAGCCCUACACAAGAAAAGCUCUGGACAAGAAAAGUAAGUGGCAACAUACAACCCACCUACAUAAAAAUAUUUUCCUCACUGAAUAGUUUCUGUAAUUCUUAUUAUCAGACUAACUCCUUUCAAAGCAUAACUACAGCUUGUAUCUAAAAAUGGAAUCUUUAAUAUGUUGAAUCUGAAAUACAUUGCUUGAGCCAGAAUAAGACUUAGGAUGAGCUAGGAUUAUUGAAACUAGUGACACCACCCUUAUGACUUCCCAGACAUAAAUAGAGCAAGAAAAGGAAUCCCCCCCUCAAAAAAAGGAUAACUAGUAGUACAUGGCAUUUGGUUGCUUCAGCAGAGCAAGAAAGAGACAAAAGGGGUUUCUGGCAAGAGGGACCCAUGUAAAUAUAUGCAAACUGGACUCUAAGGAAUAUGAGCCUUUCUGCUACCUGAGAGAGAAGUAACCAGAAUUGGUAUGAUAUUCUAAGAAGGAAAUAUUGAGGGAGAGGAAUGAGGACAGGCGAGAGGCAAUUUGCCAUAUUCCAUUCUACCAUAUAUCUCAAGGUCAACCAACAUAACCCAGCACAUACUUUUCUAAUGUGUUUUAUUCAGCACAGUAUGCUCCUACGGAAAAGUUUCCAGAUAUAAGGAUUUCUAAAAUGAAAUGUUAUGUGCCACCACUAGAGAAUUAAACAAUAUUUUUGUCAAAAGAAUAACCUUACGUUCACUAGAAUAUAUAAGGAAUAGAUAUUUAUAAAACAAAAUAUAUCAGCUGGUAGGAGACAACAUCUAAGUAUCACACCCCUUCUUCUGUGUAAUUAAACUACAAACUACCCCCCACCUUUUUUUGUCUUUGUCUUUUUAGGGCCGCUCCUGUGGCUUAUGGGUUGAAUUGGAGCUGCAGCUGCCAGCCUACACCACAGCCAUGGUGACGCCAGAUCCGAGCCACAUUUGCAACCUACACUGCAGCUUGCAGCAAUGCCAGAUCUUCAACCCACUGAGCAAGGCAAGGGAUCAAACCUACAUCUUCAUGGAAACUAGUCAGGUUCUUAACGUGCUGAGUCACAACAGAAAUUCCCAAACUACCCCCUUUUAAAAGAAAAAUUUUAGGAGUUCCUGCUGUGGUGCAGUGGGUUAAUGAUCUGGCUUGUCUCUGUGGCAGCAUUAGUUCCGUCCCCAGCCUGGUGCAGUGGGUUAAAGGAUCCGGCAUUGCCACACUGGCAGUGGAGGUCACAGCUGUGGCUUAGAUUCAAUCCCUGGCCUGGAAACUUCCAUAAGUCAUGCGUGUGUCCAUAAAAAAAUAAAUAAAUAAAUAAAUAAAUUUGUGUAACUGUAACAAAAUCUUAAAAAAAUAAUUUAGAUUUUUAAAAAAUUAUUUAAAACAAUUAUGACCAAGUAGUUAUUCUCUUGACACAAAAUAAGGGGGAAUGUUUUUAUUCUUCUUGGGAAAUAACUUGACCUUCAGCUUCCUAGAGUGACAAUUUUAAAUUGGGCAACUUCCAACAUAAAUUCACCAGUUGUUCUUUAUUGCCAUGAGGACUAAUGGGAAAUAAAGCAUAUGGUAUAGUACAAUAUAUAAACUGGCUGAAAAAUUAAAGAAAAAGAAAUUAUAAAAGUAAUUCCAACUAUAAGAAAUGCUGUUUGUUUAAAAAAAAAUAAUAAUAAUAACAAUUACCUUUGUGAUUUGAUAGCCAUGUGGAAAAUUAUUUGACAUGGACAACAAAAAUAUUUGGUUUUUUAGUACCUUGGUUUCUUUCUCUUAUCAUCAUAUAACAGAGGAUGUGAUUCUAAGAGUAGAGCUUGAGUCUAAUUCCCUUGGAAAAAUAAUAUGCAUAUUAAAGGUAGUGGAUGUUUAUAUUCCUUCUAGAAAUAGCUGUAUAAAACAGAUCUCUGCACUUGCCCAGAACUAAUAUUUUUAAGUAACUAGGGCAGAGUGAUACCCCUACUCAAGGCUUUUUUUUUUUUAUCAAUCAAAGGUGUUUCACCAGUGAAAAAGAGAAGACAUACCUUGGAAAAAACUCCACCUUAGGUUUAUAGUUCUGUAUCAGUAAGCGAAGUCCAGGCUAAUGCUGUGUAACAAUCAGAAACCUCAAUACUGUACAGAAAUAAGCAUUUAUUUACUCACAAAUCAUCAGGUCACCUGUGGGUGAGCUGAUCUGAGCUGGGAAAGACUUCAAAGCUCUGCGAAUAUGGAACAGUAUUUCCAGAGUCCUCUAUCUUCGAGAGUUUCUUAUCCUUCUGGACUAGCCUGAACACAUCCUUAUGGUAUUGGGAGAGGCCAACAGAGAUCGUGCCAGUACUUUCCAAUGCUUUUUUUUCAUAUCACACCCACCAGUCUUCCAUUAGACAGAGUAAGUCACGGGCUCAAGUUCAAAGACAAGGAGUGCAGAAAUACAUCUCACCUUUUAGUAAGAGGACUGAACAUGGAUACAGAGGAGGGCGAAUAAAUAGGUCUAUUAACGGUCUACUAUAACCCCCACUGUACCACGGAAAUCUGCUCCAGCUUCUUCUGCGGCUUUCUUCCCUCUUCUCUAACUCCAUGGUCCCUAAGAGCCUUCACUUGUGUUAUUGGUGGUUUUCAUUUGCUUUUAGAUAUAGCAUGUAUUAUUUAAGCAAAUCACAAUUAAUUUAAAUAGAAUCAAACCCGUCUCGAUCCAUAAGGAUGCCACUAAGAAAAUAUCCCUUCCAAAAAUCUACUUGAGGAGGUGAUUUAGGGGGAAGGGGUAUCCGAGGUUCACCUUUGGAGAAAACAAUGCCAACAUCUGAGCAUCUUCUUUUAAUGAGGGACUCUGGGAAACACCAAAGCACAGCAGCAUGAAUGUGAUAACCAGGUAGCAAAGGAUGACAAGGAAUGUGGAGAGUGGACUUUCUCUCACCCAGAUAUUUUUCCUGCCUCGCAUCUAUUCUCUAAAUUGCAGGUAGGUGAUCUUGAUGUUUAAUCUUUUCUAUUUAAUGCAUCACCCUGUUUAUUUUAAAAUUCUUUGUUAUGAACCUUAAAUAUCUGAUAUGACAAAAGGUAAACAAUGAAGAUGAACAACCAUCAAUUGUUUUGGCACUUACUUUUAGUUUGAAGAGAUUUAAAUGUUUAUUCACCAUUAUCUAAACAAUAAACUCUUCCUCUGAAACUGUUUAGAUUCCAAUUUCAGGGUUUUUAAAAUCAGCUUAUAACUUUCCCCAAAUCCUAAUACUAACCAUGAACAAAAUUAAUUUCAGGUUUUUUUCUCAUUUCCUACCAUUUCAUGCAUCAUCUUGUACAAUGCCUGUGAACACACAAGUUCUGUCUCUUUAAGUCACCUUUAUUUCUCAAGGAUCAGGGUGGUUCAUCUGAAGGAAAUAAAGAAUCAGCUUCAGUUUCCCCACACUGGCCUGUUUAACAGAGACUUGGACCCUCGGGGACACAGAAGGAAAGUUUUGAGAACACGUUCAGGACAUAAGAGAAAGAAUUAUCUUAAAAAUACCAUUCCAGGAGAGUUCUUCUUGUGGCUCAGCGGGUUGAGGACCCGACAUGGUCUCCAUGAGGAUGCCAGUUUGAUCCCUGGCCUCACUCAGUGGGCUAAGGAUCUGGCAUUGCCUCAAGCUGCGGCAUAGGUUGCAGAUCUGGCAUUGCUGCGACUGUGGCGUAGGCUGGCAACUGUAGGUCUGAUUUGACCUCUAGCCUGGGACCUUUCAUAUGCUAUGGGUUCGGCCAUAAAAAGAGGGAAAAAAAAAAAUACCAUUACAUCUGAUAAACAUGGAAACUCAAGAAACUUGAUCAGAUCCUUGAUUCAGAGAUCAUCUUUAAGAUAUCAAGCUGCUUAAAACAGUUCUUAUGUUAAUAUCCAUGGUUAAAAUUUCUGCAAGGCCAGUCAGUCUGCAAUGAACCCUAUAAGCUAAUCUGUUUGCCUCUGUAACUUCUUACUUCUGACAGGCAUACCUCAUGGUAAUUUUUAAUGGAGUUUGCUUGGGAUUCUUUGCCACAAGAAUUAUGGCUACCACUUACUAAUCUCUCUCUUUGUGCCAGGAACUUUGAUCUAUCAUUUGGAAAUAUUAUUACCAAGAUUCCCAAGAACAACUAGAGUUACUGUUAUCAUUCCCAAUUAAAAAUGAGGAGACCAGAGUUCCCGUCAUGGGCCAUUGGAAACGAAUCCGACUAGGAACCACGAGGUUGCAGGUUCAAUUCCUGGCCUCACUCAGUGGGUUGAGGAUCCAGUGUUGCCGUGAGCUGUGGUGUAGGUCGCAGAUGCUUCUCAGAUCCCGAGUUGCUGUGGCUGUGGUGUAGGCCGGUGGCUUCAGCUCCGAUUAGACCCCUAGCCUGGGAACCUCCAUAUGCCACAGGAGCGGCACUAGAAAAGGCAAAAAAAAAAAAAAAAAAA